UAUUAUGUAACAUGUAAAAUAUUCACCUGAGUAGUAGUAGUUAUGAUCUUGAAACUCAAAGAAUUUGGCGGUAUUUUAGUCCUUUCAGAGGAAUCUGCCCUGUAAUCGAUAGUACACGUUUUGUUAUGCUUUAUUUAUUAGCUUGUAUACCGCCGUCAUAAGAUUGUUCUAUAGAGGAUUGAAAUUUUCUUUGUUUUUUAUUAAAAAAUAUGUCAGGUCAAGGUGCAGUUCAUAUUAAAGAAGUGGUGGAUUACAAUAAUUUUAAUUAAAUGGAUGAGGUAGUAAGUUUUUCUUUGAAGGUGGAUUUGAUUGUAAAUUUAUUUUAGAUAUUAAUUUGAUUAUGGCUCUAGAGUGUGUACACAUCGCCCGUCGCUCUCGUUUUAUAUGAG
This 389-nucleotide ribosomal RNA is filed under the name Caltathra sp. NC. RNAcentral's name for it is "partial 12S ribosomal RNA". The record is from RNAcentral. Lineage: Eukaryota; Metazoa; Arthropoda; Insecta; Orthoptera; Phalangopsidae.